Molecule: unclassified non-coding RNA, 263 nt
Filed under: plant metagenome
Description: partial contains small subunit ribosomal RNA, internal transcribed spacer 1, and 5.8S ribosomal RNA
Source: RNAcentral
UUUCCGUAGGUGAACCUGCGGAAGGAUCAUUAUUGUAUAACCGCGGUGCGAGGGCUGUCGCUGAACCGACAGGUCGUGCACGCCCGAGUGCCCGCACACAAAUCCAACUCACCCCUAUGUGCACCACCGCGUGGGUCCACCGGUGGCUUGUUCGGAGGGGGGUUUACGAUUUCACACAAACGGUGUAUGCAGUGUAGAAUGGAGUUUUGGUUGUUGCGAUCACGCAAUCAAUACAACUUUCAACAACGGAUCUCUUGGCUCUC